AUAGGAUUGUACAGAGUGCCUCUGGUGAGUUCUUAUGCAUCAUGUUCCUGCCUGAGUGAUCAACAAAAGUUCCCAUCUUUUUUUAGAACGAUCCCAAGUGAUGCUUUUCAGGUGAAUGCUAUGAUUCAGAUACUAAAACG
Solea senegalensis (Senegalese sole) is the source of this 140-nucleotide long non-coding RNA. RefSeq lists it as uncharacterized. The record is from RefSeq and is a predicted model, not a curated record. The transcript is spliced from 3 exons. Lineage: Eukaryota; Metazoa; Chordata; Actinopteri; Pleuronectiformes; Soleidae.